Molecule: non-coding RNA, 800 nt
Organism: Hyaena hyaena (striped hyena)
Lineage: Eukaryota; Metazoa; Chordata; Mammalia; Carnivora; Hyaenidae
Source: the annotation of a RefSeq genome assembly
CGAUUCCUAAAGCAGAAGACCUAGAAAUGUUUGAGCCAGACUCUUUUUUUUUUUUUUUUCAGGGCUUAAAAUUUGAGUCCUCAGUGAACCAGGGGAAGAAAGAAUAAUGAAGUGCUUGAGAGUUUUCCUAGUGGUCCUGUGGCUUCAGUUAACCUGGGUGACGAGUCAACAGAAGGGUGUGGAGCAGAGUCUUGUAUCUCUGACAGUUCUGGAGGGAGACACUGCCUCUCUCAACUGUAGUUACAGUGACAGUACUUCCCAGUACUUCGCGUGGUACGGACAGUAUUCUGGGAAAGGCCCCGAGUUGCUGAUGUACAUGUACUCCGAUGGUGAAAAAGAAGAAGGAAGAUUUACAGGGCUGCUCACUAAAGCAAGCCGGUCUCUCUCCCUGCUCAUCAGAGACUCCCAGCACGGCGACUCUGCUACCUACCUCUGUGCAGUGAGCGCACAGUGCUCCCCUGGCCCCUGCUGUCUGUACUCAAACCCACUGCUGCCCCAGCAAGGCCUGAUGUAGAGCCUAGGCUGCAGGGAAGAGAGAUUCUGCUCGCUCUCUAGAUGCAAAUGGGAAUUAAGAGCAUUCUCCAUAACCAUAGAAUGUCCCAUACCCACGGGCAGGGCGGGGGAGCAUGGAAGGGCUUCAGAUUUCAUGAGAAGGAUCUCUGAGCAAGUACCUAAAAGGAUUCUACACACGGAGGAGUUUUGUUAUGGUGAUUAAAGGCCUUCAUGGAUCAAUUAUCGAAAACAUACGGUAUUGAAGGGGGCACCUGAGUGGCUCAGUUGGUUAAGCGUCUGACUUUGGA